AGAACGAACGCUGGCGGCAUGCCUAACACAUGCAAGUCGAACGAGACCUUCGGGUCUAGUGGCGCACGGGUGCGUAACGCGUGGGAAUCUGCCCUUGGGUUCGGAAUAACAGUUGGAAACGACUGCUAAUACCGGAUGAUGACGUAAGUCCAAAGAUUUAUCGCCCAGGGAUGAGCCCGCGUAGGAUUAGCUAGUUGGUGAGGUAAAGGCUCACCGAGGCGACGAUCCUUAGCUGGUCUGAGAGGAUGAUCAGCCACACUGGGACUGAGACACGGCCCAGACCUCCGUACGGGGGGCAGCAGGUGGGGAAUAUUGGACAAGUGGGACGAAACCCUGAUCCAGCCAGUCCCGCGUGUGCGAUGGACGGGUCCUUCGGGUUAGUAAAGCGUAC
RNAcentral lists this ribosomal RNA (391 nucleotides) under uncultured soil bacterium. RNAcentral describes it as "bacterial SSU rRNA". It matches the Rfam family "Bacterial small subunit ribosomal RNA", at positions 26 to 435 of the family's 1533-position model. The record is from RNAcentral.